Non-coding RNA from Pantherophis guttatus, 101 nucleotides. NCBI's taxonomy places the organism in Eukaryota, Metazoa, Chordata, Lepidosauria, Squamata, Colubridae. The record is from RefSeq and is a predicted model, not a curated record.
GAUGGCCUGAGGAGGAUUUUUGACUGCCAUGCUGUUAGGCUGGCAACUUGGGAGCAGGUCAGGAUGUACAUUUAUUGAUCUUUCUCAGCAUGAAGAAAAGA